AAUGGGGGCAACCCUGAUCUAGCCACGCCGCGUGAGUGAUGAAGGCCUUAGGGUCGUAAAGCUCUUUCGCCUGUGAUGAUAGUGACAGUAGCAGGUAAAGAAACCCCGGCUAACUCCGUGCCAGCAGCCGCGGUAAUACGGAGGGGGUUAGCGUUGUUCGGAAUUACUGGGCGUAAAGCGCGCGUAGGCGGAUUAGAAAGUUGGGGGUGAAAUCCCGGGGCUCAACCCCGGAACUGCCUCCAAAACUGCUAGUCUAGAGUUCGAGAGAGGUGAGUGGAAUUCCGAGUGUAGAGGUGGAAUUCGUAGAUAUUCGGAGGAACACCAGUGGCGAAGGCGGCUCACUGGCUCGAUACUGACGCUGAGGUGCGAAAGUGUGGGGAGCAAACAGGAUU
RNAcentral lists this ribosomal RNA (392 nucleotides) under uncultured Gammaproteobacteria bacterium. RNAcentral's name for it is "bacterial SSU rRNA". It matches the Rfam family "Bacterial small subunit ribosomal RNA", at positions 370 to 779 of the family's 1533-position model. The record is from RNAcentral. Lineage: Bacteria; Pseudomonadati; Pseudomonadota; Gammaproteobacteria.